This 433-nucleotide ribosomal RNA is filed under the name uncultured bacterium. Its description in RNAcentral is "partial 16S ribosomal RNA". It matches the Rfam family "Bacterial small subunit ribosomal RNA", at positions 29 to 507 of the family's 1533-position model. The record is from RNAcentral.
AACGAACGCUGGCGGCAGGCUUAACACAUGCCAGUCGAGCGAGACCUUCGGGUCUAGCGGCGGACGGGUGAGUAACGCGUGGGAACGUGCCCUUCUCUACGGAAUAGCCCCGGGAAACUGGGAGUAAUACCGUAUACGCCCUUUGGGGGAAAGAUUUAUCGGAGAAGGAUCGGCCCGCGUUGGAUUAGGUAGUUGGUGGGGUAAUGGCCCACCAAGCCGACGAUCCAUAGCUGGUUUGAGAGGAUGAUCAGCCACACUGGGACUGAGACACGGCCCAGACUCCUACGGGAGGCAGCAGUGGGGAAUCUUAGACAAUGGGGGCAACCCUGAGCUAGCCAUGCCGCGUGAGUGAUGAAGGCCUUAGGGUUGUAAAGCUCUUUCAGCUGGGAAGAUAAUGACGGUACCAGCAGAAGAAGCCCCGGCUAACUCCGUG